Molecule: ribosomal RNA, 464 nt
Filed under: uncultured bacterium
Lineage: Bacteria
Description: bacterial SSU rRNA
Rfam family: Bacterial small subunit ribosomal RNA
Source: RNAcentral
AUUGAACGCUGGCGGCAUGCCUUACACAUGCAAGUCGAACGGCAGCGGGCCUUCGGGUGCCGGCGAGUGGCGAACGGGUGAGUAAUGCAUCGGAACGUGCCAUUGAGUGGGGGAUAACGUAGCGAAAGUUACGCUAAUACCGCAUAUUCUGUGAGCAGGAAAGCAGGGGACCGCAAGGCCUUGCGCUCUUUGAGCGGCCGAUGUCAGAUUAGCUAGUUGGUGAGGUAAAGGCUUACCAAGGCGACGAUCUGUAGCGGGUCUGAGAGGAUGAUCCGCCACACUGGAACUGAGACACGGUCCAGACUCCUACGGGAGGCAGCAGUGGGGAAUUUUGGACAAUGGGCGCAAGCCUGAUCCAGCCAUGCCGCGUGAGUGAAGAAGGCCUCGGUUGUAAAGCUCUUCGGUCCGGGAAGGAAAUCGCAUGGGUAAUACCCUAGUGUGGAUGACGGUACCGGAAUAAGAAG